UCUUUAGGGCCGCUCGGGUUAAUAUAUGUCGUCAGAGGCUCCUCACGCCAAUCCCGGGGCGGCGGGGGCGGCGCCUCGCUCCCUCCGCAAUAAAACUUUUUGAUGUUCUUUUUGCUAAUUGCCGAGGUCCUCUUCUAGGAUUGGCUGCCCCUUCAUAACCAUAAGAUAAUUAAAACGAGGGGGGGCAGGGUUAAAAAAACUUUUUUAUCAGCCAGAGGUUAAUGCAAGUGUUUAACAGAUGCUUCAUUAUUAAAAUAUUUUUUCCCCACCUUUCAAAUAUUGAAGAAUCUCAAACCAGGGACACCAGUCCGCAGGAAGACCUUGGGCGAUUUCAAAGCGCAGGCAACUCGGUUCCUCGAAUUUGUGAUGUGGCCGGUAUUGGUGUUCCCCUGGUUUAACUAGCCUGUUUGAAGGUGCAGGUCAUUCUUGGGGAAGUCCAACCCAAACCAGGCCUCCUCUGCCACCCAGAGGUCUUCCUUUCUGCCAGUCUCCAUCUGCCUGUGACUCCAGAAAGACAAACUUCAGAUUGGCCGAGCUACAUCUCUGACCAGAUCCUUUGGGGCUUGUGUGGCUUGAAGAGUUCUGGUGAGAGCGCCCCCAGUGCCAUUUUUGCCCUGGCUUUCUUGGCCCAGGUCCAGGGCUCUGGAAGGGUCAAAGUCUAGCCACUGGUGUUGUCCGCAAGCCCUAAGUUUUCAAUCUGAUGAAAGAUUGGAACUUUGGCUCAGGGCUUGAUCAGCUCACAGUUGUACAAGUUAGAGGAGCAGGCGGGAGAUGGCAGCAGGUGGCCAACUGUGGGUCUGGCACUGCUUGACUUGCCAGCACAGCUAGCGAACUCCUCUCUCUCACACUUCUGUGUUUCUUCUAGGCCCAGCCGAAAUGCCACCUCCUCCAGGAGUCCUUUCCAGGUGUAGCUUCCCUUCUUUCUCCUCCCUCAAAUCAGAUUUCUUCCUUCUGAACUCCUUUCUGGUGCUGCUGCUCUGGUCUCUAUGGUAGAUCUCUGGGCUCUUCCUGUGGGUCGUGGAGAGACCAAUCAAUGCACUGAAGCCAGUAGGUGCUUAAACAGCUUGUGUAAAAGGGGUGAUUCAGAGAAAUCAGGCGCUCGAAGACCCAACCCAACAGCUAGAGCCAGGUCGCUUCGGGGGCACCGCGCGCCUCCGCUGGGAUCACAAGGGCCUCGGCCGUCGCUGGACAGUGAGACGCAGAGUGAGACGCAGGGCUGCAGCCACAGCUCGGGACUGUUAGGGGACAGGAAGCGCAUCCAGAGCCGCCACCCCAGACUCAGGCCACUGCGUUGGCUGCUGGGCCGCUCCCUUCCUCCUGGUUAAAUUUUCGUUUUGAUCCCACCGCCCCUCGGUAACAACAGCCAAGGAGGCCGGUUCUCCGCCGCUCAGCGCUGCGGGGAGGAGGGACCCCCUCCCCAGCUUCCUCCAGCGGGUCUGCGAGGACUUUUCGCUGGAGGCGGGCAGGAAGGGGUUAACCGCGCCCCUCCCCCCACCGCGCCCUCCGUGCCGGGCGAAGGCCGCCGCCUCCCUCGCGAGGUCUCAUUAGGGAAACCCUUACCGCUAUUUUCAACAUUUCCUCAAUCAAGAACCUUUAAAUAGAGCUGCACAAACAAAUUGGCGGCAAAAGCGUAGAUCUUGUCACGAUUGAGACCAAUCCCAAUAUUUCAGCCUUGUUUGCUUUGCAAUUACGGGUUGGCUUGUGGCAGCGGUGCCACCGGGGCAAAUCUGCAGCCGCGCGCUCUCUCCUCCGCACCCUCGGCGGGUGGAGGGGGCCAGCCGCACGGCCGCUG
This is a long non-coding RNA of Phyllostomus discolor (pale spear-nosed bat), 1792 nucleotides long. RefSeq lists it as uncharacterized. The transcript has 4 exons. Lineage: Eukaryota; Metazoa; Chordata; Mammalia; Chiroptera; Phyllostomidae. The record is from RefSeq and is a predicted model, not a curated record.